This 482-nucleotide ribosomal RNA is filed under the name uncultured bacterium. RNAcentral's name for it is "partial 16S ribosomal RNA". It matches the Rfam family "Bacterial small subunit ribosomal RNA", at positions 28 to 507 of the family's 1533-position model. The record is from RNAcentral.
GAUGAACGCUAGCGGCAGGCCUAAUACAUGCAAGUCGGACGGGAUUCAGGAGCUUGCUUCUGAUGAGAGUGGCGCACGGGUGCGUAACACGUAUGUAACCUACCUUUAUCAGGGGGAUAGCCUCUCGAAAGAGAGAUUAAGCCCGCAUAAAAUCACAGCACAGCAUUGUGUAAUGAUCAAAUAUUUAUAGGAUAAAGAUGGGCAUGCGGAACAUUAGCUAGAUGGCGGGGUAACGGCCCACCAUGGCGACGAUGUUUAGGGGAUCUGAGAGGAUGGCCCCCCACACUGGUACUGAGACACGGACCAGACUCCUACGGGAGGCAGCAGUAAGGAAUAUGGGUCAAUGGGCGGAAGCCUGAACCAGCCAUGCCGCGUGCAGGAAGACGGCCCUACGGGUUGUAAACUGCUUUUAUACGGGAAUAAACCCAGAUACGUGUAUCUGGCUGAAUGUACUGUAAGAAUAAGGAUCGGCUAACUCCGUG